GAUGAACGCUGGCGGCGUGCCUAAUACAUGCAAGUCGAGCGAACAGACGAGGAGCUUGCUCCUCUGACGUUAGCGGCGGACGGGUGAGUAACACGUGGAUAACCUACCUAUAAUACUGGGAUAACUUCGGGAAACCGGAGCUAAUACCGGAUAAUAUAUUGAACCGCAUGGUUCAAUAGUGAAAGACGGUUUUGCUGUCACUUAUAGAUGGAUCCGCGCCGCAUUAGCUAGUUGGUAAGGUAACGGCUUACCAAGGCAACGAUGCGUAGCCGACCUGAGAGGGUGAUCGGCCACACUGGGACUGAGACACGGUCCAGACUCCUACGGGAGGCAGCAGUAGGGAAUCUUCCGCAAAGGGCGAAAGCCUGACGGAGCAACGCCGCGUGAGUGAUGAAGGUCUUCGGAUCGUAAAACUCUGUUAUUAGGGAAGAACAAAUGUGUAAGUAACUAUGCACGUCUUGACGGUACCUAAUCAGAAAGCCACGGCUAACUACGUG
RNAcentral lists this ribosomal RNA (497 nucleotides) under uncultured bacterium. Its description in RNAcentral is "partial 16S ribosomal RNA". It matches the Rfam family "Bacterial small subunit ribosomal RNA", at positions 28 to 507 of the family's 1533-position model. The record is from RNAcentral.